AAAUUGAAGAGUUUGAUCAUGGCUCAGAUUGAACGCUGGCGGCAGGCCUAACACAUGCAAGUCGAGCGGUAGCACAGAGAGCUUGCUCUCGGGUGACGAGCGGCGGACGGGUGAGUAAUGUCUGGGAAACUGCCUGAUGGAGGGGGAUAACUACUGGAAACGGUAGCUAAUACCGCAUAAUGUCGCAAGACCAAAGUGGGGGACCUUCGGGCCUCAUGCCAUCAGAUGUGCCCAGAUGGGAUUAGCUAGUAGGUGGGGUAAUGGCUCACCUAGGCGACGAUCCCUAGCUGGUCUGAGAGGAUGACCAGCCACACUGGAACUGAGACACGGUCCAGACUCCUACGGGAGGCAGCAGUGGGGAAUAUUGCACAAUGGGCGCAAGCCUGAUGCAGCCAUGCCGCGUGUGUGAAGAAGGCCUUCGGGUUGUAAAGCACUUUCAGCGGGGAGGAAGGCGUUAAGGUUAAUAACCUUGGCGAUUGACGUUACCCGCAGAAGAAGCACCGGCUAACUCCGUGCCAGCAGCCGCGGUAAUACGGAGGGUGCAAGCGUUAAUCGGAAUUACUGGGCGUAAAGCGCACGCAGGCGGUCUGUCAAGUCGGAUGUGAAAUCCCCGGGCUCAACCUGGGAACUGCAUUCGAAACUGGCAGGCUAGAGUCUUGUAGAGGGGGGUAGAAUUCCAGGUGUAGCGGUGAAAUGCGUAGAGAUCUGGAGGAAUACCGGUGGCGAAGGCGGCCCCCUGGACAAAGACUGACGCUCAGGUGCGAAAGCGUGGGGAGCAAACAGGAUUAGAUACCCUGGUAGUCCACGCCGUAAACGAUGUCGAUUUGGAGGUUGUGCCCUUGAGGCGUGGCUUCCGGAGCUAACGCGUUAAAUCGACCGCCUGGGGAGUACGGCCGCAAGGUUAAAACUCAAAUGAAUUGACGGGGGCCCGCACAAGCGGUGGAGCAUGUGGUUUAAUUCGAUGCAACGCGAAGAACCUUACCUGGUCUUGACAUCCACAGAACUUAGCAGAGAUGCUUUGGUGCCUUCGGGAACUGUGAGACAGGUGCUGCAUGGCUGUCGUCAGCUCGUGUUGUGAAAUGUUGGGUUAAGUCCCGCAACGAGCGCAACCCUUAUCCUUUGUUGCCAGCGGUUAGGCCGGGAACUCAAAGGAGACUGCCAGUGAUAAACUGGAGGAAGGUGGGGAUGACGUCAAGUCAUCAUGGCCCUUACGACCAGGGCUACACACGUGCUACAAUGGCAUAUACAAAGAGAAGCGACCUCGCGAGAGCAAGCGGACCUCAUAAAGUAUGUCGUAGUCCGGAUUGGAGUCUGCAACUCGACUCCAUGAAGUCGGAAUCGCUAGUAAUCGUAGAUCAGAAUGCUACGGUGAAUACGUUCCCGGGCCUUGUACACACCGCCCGUCACACCAUGGGAGUGGGUUGCAAAAGAAGUAGGUAGCUUAACCUUCGGGAGGGCGCUUACCACUUUGUGAUUCAUGACUGGGGUGAAGUCGUAACAAGGUAACCGUAGGGGAACCUGCGGUUGGAUCACCUCCUUA
RNAcentral lists this ribosomal RNA (1540 nucleotides) under Klebsiella pneumoniae. Its description in RNAcentral is "bacterial SSU rRNA". It matches the Rfam family "Bacterial small subunit ribosomal RNA". Lineage: Bacteria; Pseudomonadati; Pseudomonadota; Gammaproteobacteria; Enterobacterales; Enterobacteriaceae. The record is from RNAcentral.